Molecule: ribosomal RNA, 406 nt
Filed under: uncultured bacterium
Lineage: Bacteria
Description: partial 16S ribosomal RNA
Rfam family: Bacterial small subunit ribosomal RNA
Source: RNAcentral
AUUGAACGCUUGCGGCAGGCCUAACACAUGCAAGUCGAACGAGUGGCGGACGGGUGAGUAAUGUCUGGGAAACUGCCUGGUGGCGGGGGAUAACUACUGGAAACGGUAGCUAAUACCGCAUACCAUCGGAUGUGCCCAGAUGGGAUUAGCUAGUUGGUGGGGUAAAGGCUCACCAAGGCGACGAUCCCUAGCUGGUCUGAGAGGAGGACCAGCCACACUGGAACUGAGCCACGGUCCAGACCCCUACGGGAGGCAGCAGUGGGGAAUUUUGCACAAUGGGCGCAAGCCUGAUGCAGCCAUCCCGCGUGUAUGAAGAAGGCCUUCGUGUUGUAAAGUACUUUCAGCGGGGAGGCGUUACCUGCAGAAGAAGCACCGGCUAACUCCGUGCCAGCAGCCGCGGUAAUUC